This 345-nucleotide unclassified non-coding RNA is filed under the name soil metagenome. RNAcentral's name for it is "partial contains 5.8S ribosomal RNA, internal transcribed spacer 2, and large subunit ribosomal RNA". The stretch from base 1 to 121 matches the Rfam family "5.8S ribosomal RNA", at positions 35 to 154 of the family's 154-position model. The record is from RNAcentral.
GAUGAAGAACGCAGCGAAAUGCGAUAAGUAAUGCGAAUUGCAGAAUUUCCGUGAGUCAUCGAAUCUUUGAACGCACAUUGCGCCCACUGGUAUUCCGGUGGGCAUGCCUGUUCGAGCGUCAUUAUCCUCCCUCAAACCCCGGGUUUGGUGUUGGACCCAAGUUGUGUGCACAACUGGUCUCAAAGACAAUGACGGCGUCCGUGGGACCCUCGGUGCAACGAGCUUUUAGGAGCACGCAUCGAGUUGCAAGGACCUUCCGGGCCGGUCUCCUUUACCAAUUUACAAGGUUGACCUCGGAUCAGGUAGGAAUACCCGCUGAACUUAAGCAUAUCAAUAAGCGGAGGA